GACGAACGCUGGCGGCGCGCCUAACACAUGCAAGUCGAACGGAGUCACGAGGAGCUUGCUUUUCUUGACUUAGUGGCGAACGGGUGAGUAACGCGUGAGUAACCUGCCCUGGAGUGGGGGACAACAGUUGGAAACGACUGCUAAUACCGCAUAAGCCCACGGAUCAGCAUGGAUCUGCGGGAAAAGGAUUUAUUCGCUCUAGGAUGGACUCGCGUCCAAUUAGCUAGUUGGUGAGGUAACGGCCCACCAAGGCGACGAUUGGUAGCCGGACUGAGAGGUUGAACGGCCACAUUGGGACUGAGACACGGCCCAGACUCCUACGGGAGGCAGCAGUGGGGGAUAUUGCACAAUGGGGGAAACCCUGAUGCAGCGACGCCGCGUGGAGGAAGAAGGUUUUCGGAUUGUAAACUCCUGUCGUUAGGGACGAUAAUGACGGUACCUAACAAGAAAGCACCAGCUAACUACGUG
This 468-nucleotide ribosomal RNA is filed under the name uncultured bacterium. Its description in RNAcentral is "partial 16S ribosomal RNA". It matches the Rfam family "Bacterial small subunit ribosomal RNA", at positions 28 to 507 of the family's 1533-position model. The record is from RNAcentral.